This 496-nucleotide ribosomal RNA is filed under the name uncultured bacterium. RNAcentral describes it as "partial 16S ribosomal RNA". It matches the Rfam family "Bacterial small subunit ribosomal RNA", at positions 28 to 506 of the family's 1533-position model. The record is from RNAcentral.
GAUGAACGCUGGCGGCGUGCCUAAUACAUGCAAGUCGAGCGAACAGACGAGGAGCUUGCUCCUCUGACGUUAGCGGCGGACGGGUGAGUAACACGUGGAUAACCUACCUAUAAGACUGGGAUAACUUCGGGAAACCGGAGCUAAUACCGGAUAAUAUAUUGAACCGCAUGGUUCAAUAGUGAAAGACGGUUUUGCUGUCACUUAUAGAUGGAUCCGCGCCGCAUUAGCUAGUUGGUAAGGUAACGGCUUACCAAGGCGACGAUGCGUAGCCGACCUGAGAGGGUGAUCGGCCACACUGGACCUGAGACCCGGUCCAGACUCCUACGGGAGGCAGCAAUAGGGAAUCUUCCGCGAUGGGCGAAAGCCUGACGGAGCAGCGCCGCGUGAGUGAUGAAGGUCUUCGGGUCGUAAAACUCUGUUAUUGGGGAAGAACAAAUGUGUAAGUAACUAUGCACGUCUUGACGGUACCUAAUCAGAAAGCCACGGCUAACUACGU